AUGUACCACUCGUGUACUGCGGUUCUGAGCGCGCCGUCUGCGCCCACCUGACGACUGCUCACUACGUUUUGUUAGCC
Molecule: small RNA, 77 nt
Filed under: Xanthomonas euvesicatoria pv. vesicatoria str. 85-10
Lineage: Bacteria; Pseudomonadati; Pseudomonadota; Gammaproteobacteria; Lysobacterales; Lysobacteraceae
Also listed under: 2 other names
Description: Xanthomonas campestris pv. vesicatoria str. 85-10 sX9 sRNA
Rfam family: Xanthomonas sRNA sX9
Source: RNAcentral